This 855-nucleotide ribosomal RNA is filed under the name uncultured bacterium. Its description in RNAcentral is "SSU rRNA". It matches the Rfam family "Bacterial small subunit ribosomal RNA", at positions 524 to 1381 of the family's 1533-position model. The record is from RNAcentral.
UACAUAGGGUGCAAGCGUUGUCCGGAAUUAUUGGGCGUAAAGAGCUCGUAGGUCGUUUGCCGCGUCGAUUGUGAAAAUCUGAGGCUCAACCUCAGACCUGCAGUCGAUACGGGCAAACUAGAGUGUGGUAGGGGAGACUGGAAUUCCUGGUGUAGCGGUGGAAUGCGCAGAUAUCAGGAGGAACACCAAUGGCGAAGGCAGGUCUCUGGGCCAUAACUGACACUGAGGAGCGAAAGCGCGGGGAGCGAACAGGAUUAGAUACCCUGGUGGUCCGCGCCGUAAACGAUGGGCACUAGCUGUGAGAGCCUUCCACGGUUCUCGCGACGCAGCAAACGCAUUAAGUGCCCCGCCUGGGGAGUACGAUCGCAAGAUUAAAACUCAAAGGAAUUGACGGGGCCCCGCACAAGCAGCGGAGCAUGCGGCUUAAUUCGACGCAACGCGAAGAACCUUACCAAGGCUUGACAUAUAGCGAAAAGUGGCAGAGAUGUCAUGUCCGCAAGGGCGCUAUACAGGUGGUGCAUGGUUGUCGUCAGCUCGUGUCGUGAGAUGUUGGGUUAAGUCCCGCAACGAGCGCAACCCUCGUUCUGUGUUACCAGCAUUCAGUUGGGGACUCACAGGAGACUGCCGGGGUCAACUCGGAGGAAGGUGGGGAUGACGUCAAAUCAUCAUGCCCCUUAUGUCUUGGGCUGCACGCAUGCUACAAUGGCCGGUACAAAGUGCUGCGAAAUCGUAAGAUUUAGCGAAUCACAUAAAGCCGGUCUCAGUUCGGAUUGAGGUCUGCAACUCGACCUCAUGAAGUCGGAGUUGCUAGUAAUCGUAGAUCAGCAACGCUACGGUGAAUACGUUCCCGGGGCU